RNAcentral lists this long non-coding RNA (363 nucleotides) under Equus caballus (horse). Its description in RNAcentral is "lncRNA (ENSECAG00000051805.1)". The record is from RNAcentral. Lineage: Eukaryota; Metazoa; Chordata; Mammalia; Perissodactyla; Equidae.
UGGAGAUUAAAGCAAUUUAAGCAAGGUACUGGCUGUGGUUGGGAGCUGAAACUGCUCUUGAAGGAAACAAGGGGAGGAGAUGAAGAAAGUGGGUCAGAAAUGAAAUGGCGCGAGCCCGUGUAGUAGAGGUGACGAUGUUGUGAUUUAAGUUCCAUCAGGACCUCAAAUCUCUUUGUAAGUGGCAUAUUGCGUACUUCAAGGAAAAAUAUCUGAACCCCAUGAUUUAACAACAGAGAGAAAGGAAAAAUCUUCAGGAGGUAACAAUGUAUCAAGUCCACUCUUCUUCCCAGCUGAAAGAAUGAUUGUAACCCUGAAAAUGGCCAGAAUGCCUAGGCUUGCAAAGAAGGAUUUUCCAAGAGUCCC